GACGAACGCUGGCGGCGUGCUUAACACAUGCAAGUCGAACGGAAAGGCCCUGCUUGCAGGGUACUCGAGUGGCGAACGGGUGAGUAACACGUGGGUGAUCUGCCCUGCACUUCGGGAUAAGCUUGGGAAACUGGGUCUAAUACCGGAUAGGAACCAUCUUUAGUGUGGUGGUUGGAAAGUUUUUUCGGUGUAGGAUGGGCUCGCGGCCUAUCAGCUUGUUGGUGGGGUAAUGGCCUACCAAGGCGGCGACGGGUAGCCGGCCUGAGAGGGUGUACGGCCACAUUGGGACUGAGAUACGGCCCAGACUCCUACGGGAGGCAGCAGUGGGGAAUAUUGCACAAUGGGCGCAAGCCUGAUGCAGCGACGCCGCGUGGGGGAUGAAGGCCUUCGGGUUGUAAACUCCUUUCGCUAGGGACGAAGCUUUGUUGUGACGGUACCUAGAUAAGAAGCACCGGCUAACUACGUG
Molecule: ribosomal RNA, 466 nt
Filed under: uncultured bacterium
Lineage: Bacteria
Description: partial 16S ribosomal RNA
Rfam family: Bacterial small subunit ribosomal RNA
Source: RNAcentral